AUGUCGCAAUACGCUAGUAAGACUAAAACCCUAGAGAGUGACACCGAGUCGGAGCCAGAGCCGCCGCCGCCGCCGGAUGUGGCCUCCGGGACGGGCGGGCUCGAGGCGGCCGUGCACACCAUCCACCCCUGCGAAAGCACCGCGUCCUCGGCCACGCCAAGGGCCGCCCGGCGGGCGCCCGCGUCCCGGUGCUCCUCCCGCUCCGUGAGAGCUCUGCCAGUGUCGGCGCCGCCGCCGGGCGCCGUCAUCCUUGGUACCUCCACGGAUUGGAAGGAGGACGAGGAGCACGAGGUUGACGGGCUUCAGCGGAAGGUAAAGCGCUACCGCAUGAUCGAGGAGCUCUACGCCGCGACGGAGAAGGUUGUCCCGGCGAGCAGCGGCGGCCGGAAGAAGGAGCAGAAGAGGAAAUAG
RNAcentral lists this ribosomal RNA (411 nucleotides) under Triticum aestivum (bread wheat). RNAcentral describes it as "partial small subunit ribosomal RNA". Lineage: Eukaryota; Viridiplantae; Streptophyta; Magnoliopsida; Poales; Poaceae. The record is from RNAcentral.